Molecule: long non-coding RNA, 346 nt
Organism: Stylophora pistillata
Lineage: Eukaryota; Metazoa; Cnidaria; Anthozoa; Scleractinia; Pocilloporidae
Source: RefSeq, a predicted model, not a curated record
GUUCAAAGUGACACGGCAUAAAAAAAUAUCAGAAGUAAUAGUUGAAUGAUUUUUGAUCGGCUCUAAGAAAAAAAAAGGAUCACUUUUUUAUUGCUGAUUUUGCAUCUGUCGAUAUCUCAUUAUAGCUCUUGAGGAUACAUUCAAGAAAGUUCGCGACCACAAUUUAGCUGGAGGACUACUUGCAAGACACAAGAGAUCGGCAAGUUAUAAACGCUGAAACAAUGGAAGGAAAUACUGGAACAAACGUAAUGGCUGAAUUGCUGUAACCAAUGAACUAGUGUGGUACACAUAAAUCUUAAGUGUAGCAUGUUGUCAAAAGCAAAAAUAAAGCUCCUCGUGAACUUUA